Molecule: non-coding RNA, 125 nt
Filed under: Aotus nancymaae (Ma's night monkey)
Lineage: Eukaryota; Metazoa; Chordata; Mammalia; Primates; Aotidae
Source: RNAcentral
GUGUUUUAAGAAAGUAAGGAAAGUUAGCACUCCCCUUGACAAUGACGAACAGGUACUGGGGCCUGACAACAUGCAGACAGUUAAGGCAUUGCCACCUACUUCAAGGCAACUAACCAUCCUUUUUA